GUGUCAGCAGCCGCGGUAAAACCAGCACCUCAAGUGGUCAGGAGGAUUAUUGGGCCUAAAGCAUCCGUAGCCUGCUCUGUAAGUUUCCGGUUAAAUCCAUUAGCUCAACUAAUGGCCUGCCGGAAAUACUGCAGAGCUAGGAAGUGGGAGAGGUAGACGGUACUCGGUAGGAAGGGGUAAAAUCCUUUGAUCUAUUGAUGACCACCUGUGGCGAAGGCGGUCUACCAGAACACGUUCGACGGUGAGGGAUGAAAGCUGGGGGAGCAAACCGGAUUAGAUACCCGGGUAGUCCCAGCUGUAAACGAUGCAGACUCGGUGAUGCCCUGGCUUGUGGCCAGUGCAGUGCCGCAGGGAAGCCGUUAAGUUUGCCGCCUGGGAAGUACGUACGCAAGUAUGAAACUUAAAGGAAUUGGCGGGGGAGCACCACAAGGGGUGAAGCCUGCGGUUCAAUUGGAGUCAACGCCAGAAAUCUUACCCGGAGAGACAGCAGAAUGAAGGUCAAGCUGAAGACUUUACCAGACAAGCUGAGAGGUGGUGCAUGGCCGUCGCCAGCUCGUGCCGUGAGAUGUCCUGUUAAGUCAGGUAACGAGCGAGAUCCCUGCCUCUAGUUGCCACCAUUACUCUCAGGAGUAGUGGGGCGAAUUAGCGGGACCGCCACAGUUAAUGUGGAGGAAGGAAGGGGCCACGGCAGGUCAGUAUGCCCCGAAACUCUGGGGCCACACGCGGGCUGCAAUGGUAGUGACAAUGAGUUCCGAAACCGAAAGGUGGAGGUAAUCUUCAAACGCUACCACAGUUAUGAUUGAGGGCUGCAACUCGCCCUCAUGAAUAUGGAAUCCCUAGUAACUGCGUGUCAUUAUCGCGCGGUGAAUACGUCCCUGCUCCUUGCACACACCGCCCGUC
Molecule: ribosomal RNA, 900 nt
Filed under: uncultured archaeon
Lineage: Archaea
Description: bacterial SSU rRNA
Rfam family: Archaeal small subunit ribosomal RNA
Source: RNAcentral